RNAcentral lists this ribosomal RNA (1459 nucleotides) under metagenome. RNAcentral describes it as "bacterial LSU rRNA". It matches the Rfam family "Bacterial large subunit ribosomal RNA", at positions 1457 to 2925 of the family's 2925-position model. The record is from RNAcentral.
UUUAUCGAGGGUGCGACGGAGAAGGAUAGUGUGUGCUAGCGAUUGGAAAUGCUAGUCUAAGCGUUUAGGCAGUUACGGUAGGCAAAUCCGCUGUAACGUUAAUGCUGAGGCGUGAUGGGGAAGGCCCUUGAGGCUGAAGUACAUGAUUCCAUGCUUCCAAGAAAAGCAUCUAGAGAGAGAAGUAGUGCCCGUACCGCAAACCGACACAGGUAGAUGAGGAGAGAAUCCUAAGGCCGGCGGAAGAAUUGCAGUUAAGGAACUAGGCAAAUUGACCCCGUAAGUUAGCGAGAAGGGGUGCCUGCGAGAGCAGGCCGCAGAGAAUAGGCCCAAGCAACUGUUUAGCAAAAACACAGGUCUCUGCUAAAGCACAAGCUGAUGUAUAGGGGCUGACGCCUGCCCGGUGCUGGAAGGUUAAGGGGAACACUUAGCGCAAGCGAAGGUGUGAACUUAAGCCCCAGUAAACGGCGGCCGUAACUAUAACGGUCCUAAGGUAGCGAAAUUCCUUGUCAGGUAAGUUCUGACCCGCACGAAUGGCGUAAUGACUUGGGCACUGUCUCAACUGCAAAUCCGGCGAAGUUGUAGUGCGAGUGAAGAUGCUCGCUACCCGCGAUUGGACGGAAAGACCCCGUAGAGCUUUACUGUAGCUUAGCAUUGAAUUCCGGUAUUGUCUGUACAGGAUAGGUGGGAGACUGGGAAACUAGGGCGUCAGCCUUGGUGGAGUCGUCCUUGGGAUACCCCCUGACAGUACUGGGGUUCUAACAGGACGCCAUGAAUCUGGUGACUGGACAUUGUUAGGUGGGCAGUUUGACUGGGGCGGUCGCCUCCUAAAAAGUAACGGAGGCGCCCAAAGGUUCCCUCAGAACGGUCGGAAAUCGUUCGUAGAGUGCAAAGGCAGAAGGGAGCCUGACUGCGAGACCUACAAGCCGAGCAGGGACGAAAGUCGGGCUUAGUGAUCCGGUGGUACCUCGUGGGAGGGCCAUCGCUCAACGGAUAAAAGCUACCUCGGGGAUAACAGGCUGAUCUCCCCCAAGAGUCCACAUCGACGGGGAGGUUUGGCACCUCGAUGUCGGCUCGUCGCAUCCUGGGGCUGUAGUAGGUCCCAAGGGUUGGGCUGUUCGCCCAUUAAAGCGGCACGCGAGCUGGGUUCAGAACGUCGUGAGACAGUUCGGUCCCUAUCCGUCGCGGGCGUAGGAAAUUUGAGAGGAGCUGUCCUUAGUACGAGAGGACCGGGAUGGACUGACCUCUGGUGCACCAGUUGUUCUGCCAAGAGCAUGGCUGGGUAGCUAAGUCGGGAAGGGAUAAACGCUGAAAGCAUCUAAGCGUGAAGCCUCCCUCAAGAUGAGAUUUCCCAUAGCAUAAGCUAGUAAGACCCCUUGAAGAACACGAGGUUGAUAGGUCAGAGGUGUAAGUGUGGUAACAUAUUUAGCUGACUGAUACUAAUAGGUCGAGGGCUUGACCG